CUGUUAUUCGCAAGCUUCGCUAGGCGAGCUGUAUAGCGAAGGGUUCGCUAGGCGAAGGAAUUGCUCGCCUAGCGAGCAAGCUAGUUUGGGCCUUUUCUGGAUUGGGCCUAUUGUGAGCUGGGCCUUGUUCCUUUAAGGUCAAUGCCUUGAAAAAUAAGUUGGAGUGCCUAAGAAAUGCCUUGUAAUAUUAAUGGGCAAAUUUUGGGAUAUGACACUCAGCUAAAGUAACGGAAGACAACAAUAAUACUAACAUAACUAAUAUUAAGGGAUUAAAUUGUAACAUAUUUUUAUGAAGGGAUUAAAGUGGAAUUUAAAAUUAACUUAAGAGACUUAAUGGCUAAUUAUACCUACAAUUUUAUUAAAUAGAAUCCAAAGAAUAUGAAACUUAUAUUACAAAAUCACUCCACCUUUUUGUCGAUUAAUUUUCAACCAUUUUUUUUACACUAAACCACUACCUAUUUCUUUUAUAUACAUUCCAUAAAGAUAGAAUUGAUAAGCCCAAUUAUAAACCGUGGCAAAUCCUUAGAUUGAAAACAAUGACAAGUAGUGGAAAACAAUGCUUCCCUAGUUACUGAGAAAUUAAUUAUAUUAUGCAUCCUUAGUUACCCAGAUUUUCUCAUUACUAUAACAUUUUUCUCAACUAUUAGUAAUAGUUAGAAAUGAGAUUUUGGAAAAAAUAACUAUAAAUCAAAAAAAUAUGAUCAUCUUUCUGCGAUAGAAUGAAAUGAUAAUCAAAGCUCUUCACGAAACUUGGGUUAUGGAUUUGAAGAGGUCGAUAGUUCACUACGAUUGCAAUAUUAAUGUCAAUUGAGUGUGAACAGAGGCCAACGGGCAAAGAGAUUGAUCGAACACAUAUAAGACGAGUUCAAUUCCAUUAGCAAAACUCCGUCUUCUUUUGAUAGGUGAAAUCUGAUUUGUUAUAGGAAAAUUUUAUCUCAUAUUUCAACAAUUAUUCUCCUACCCCUACAAUACAUAUAAUUGAACUAAAACACCCUUCAAAUAUAAAACAAAAUGAGUUAAUGCAACGCAAGAAAAUCAUUGUCUUAUAUGAUCAAUGGUUGUCUAAAGUCUUUUAGCAACACUUUUAAAACAUUUGCCUAAAGUAUUUGAAAUUACCCUACUAACAAUUUAAUUAAAUUGUCCAUUUUAAAAAUUAUAGGAACACUUUAUUUAAGUUAUUUGAUAUAAUAAAUUUUUUUUUAACACUUUAUUUAAAUUAUCCGGUAUAAUAAUUAUUUUUCUAUUAUCGAACUCUUUUGUAAAUAAUACGGUAUAUUAGAAAUUUUUCUAUCGGAAUUCUUUUAUCAAGUAUUCCAGCCUAUUAAGAUUUUAAAAAUUAAUUAUUGAAACUUUUUUGUUAAGUAUUCUGAUAAACUAACAUAGGGAUUAAAAAAUAUUAAUUUCAAAAAUUAUAAUUAAUAAAUAAAAAGAAAAGAAUUGAAAUAUUUUAAUAAAUAUUAUGGUAUAACGAAAAUAAUAGUAGGAGUAUAAAGCUUUUCAAGCUCAAUAGCAUGUGAAAGAGAUAUUUUACCAAAUUCUUAUCCAUCAUAAUGUUUUAAGACCAUAAGAUAGAUUAAAACCAAAUAGUAAAUUGAAUGAUAGAAAUUAACUAAUUUGAAGACUCACAAUUAUUUCACCAAUAUUCUAAUGUAGCAUAAAAAAAUCUACAAAUACAUAUAAAAAGUGAUCUACAAAAUGUUUUUUCAUAAUAUUGUUGGAUACUAAAAUACAUUUUAUCUUUAUAAGAAUCCUUAUUUUUAAAGAAUUUGAUAAAAUAAUAAAAAUAUCUCAUUUAAUUUUGUUAAAAAUCCAAAUAAUAAUUAAUUUUAGUAUAAAACACUUGGACGGCAGAAUGGCUUGUCAUGGUAGACAAAAAAGUUCAUAUAAGAAAAAAAAUCAAUUUUUAAAUAAUGGUCCACUUAAAAAUUUAAAUAUCUUCAUAUAUUAUUUUAAUUCAUUUUUUUUUAAGAUAUUUCACUCUAAACUACUGUAUAAAAAAAUCACUCAAUUAAAAUCUAGUCACUAAAAAAACUCAACAUAAAUCUAAAAUAAAUUUAAAAUAUUUAUGAAAUGAGAGAUAUACACAAAUGUGUAAGUAGGUACACAAUAUGUGUUGUAAAUUUCUUUGUGGGAGAUUAUUUGCACAAAAACAACAACUGUAUCCAAGAAUGUAAGAUGAAUUUCUAUAACCUAGCAAAUUAUGUUCACAAUACAUGGAAUAUGGCCUUCAAAUUUCUUUCAACCUCAUCCGCCCAAUUAGUUAAAGUAAUUUGAAGGUCAAAUCCAUGGCCUGUAAACAUACUUUCAAAAGAUUGUUAGAAUAUACAUCAUGCAUUCGUAUAAUUAAUUAUAUAAGUUAUCAUCAAUGAUUAAAAAGAAAAUAAUUUGUGUAAAAGAGAUGCAAAUAGAGAUAGGGAAAAGUUUGUUUGCUCAUCAGAAAAACAAAGAAACAAUCUCAUUCAAGAUUUAUAAAAUUUGAAAUGAGAAGGUAGUGGAUUGAGAGAAAAAAAUAUAUGGGAGCUUAUAUGUGUAUAUGUUAAGAGAGAUGGAAAAGAAUUUAUAGACGAAGAGUAGUUAAAAUGAGGUUUUAUAAUGUGAAGGGAGUUUGAAGGUUAGUUU
RNAcentral lists this long non-coding RNA (2619 nucleotides) under Lathyrus oleraceus (garden pea). RNAcentral describes it as "Pisum sativum (pea) long non-coding RNA (PSAT_LNC000537)". Lineage: Eukaryota; Viridiplantae; Streptophyta; Magnoliopsida; Fabales; Fabaceae. The record is from RNAcentral.